This 397-nucleotide ribosomal RNA is filed under the name uncultured bacterium. RNAcentral's name for it is "bacterial SSU rRNA". It matches the Rfam family "Bacterial small subunit ribosomal RNA", at positions 362 to 776 of the family's 1533-position model. The record is from RNAcentral.
UAUUGGACAAUGGGGGGAACCCUGAUGCAGCGACGCCGCGUGAGCGAAGAAGUAUUUCGGUAUGUAAAGCUCUAUCAGCAGGGAAGAAGAUGACGGUACCUGACUAAGGAGCUACGGCUAAAUACGUGCCAGCAGCCGAGGUAGUACGGAUGGAGCAAGCGUUAUCCGGAUUUACUGGGUGUAAAGGGAGCGUAGGCGGCCUGGCAAGUCUGGUGUGAAAUACCGGGGCCCAACCCCGGGACUGCAUUGGAAACUGCCAGGCUGGAGUGUCGGAGGGGCAGGCGGAAUUCCUAGUGUAGCGGUGAAAUGCGUAGAUAUUAGGAGGAACACCGGUGGCGAAGGCGGCCUGCUGGACGACAACUGACGCUGAGGCUCGAAAGCGUGGGGAGCAAACAGG